Molecule: ribosomal RNA, 253 nt
Filed under: uncultured bacterium
Lineage: Bacteria
Description: partial 16S ribosomal RNA
Rfam family: Bacterial small subunit ribosomal RNA
Source: RNAcentral
UACGUAGGGGGCAAGCGUUAUCCGGAUUUACUGGGUGUAAAGGGGGCGCAGACGGCGAUGCAAGCCAGGAGUGAAAGCCCGGGGCCCAACCCCGGGACUGCUCUUGGAACUGCGUGGCUGGAGUGCAGGAGGGGCAGGCGGAAUUCCUGGUGUAGCGGUGAAAUGCGUAGAUAUCAGGAGGAACACCGGUGGCGAUGGCGGCCUGCUGGACUGCAACUGACGUUGAGGCCCGAAAGCGUGGGGAGCAAACAGG